GAAAGAAUUUCGGUAGGGGAUGGGCAUGCGGCGCAUUAGGUAGUUGGCGGGGUAACGGCCCACCAAGCCGACGAUGCGUAGGGGUUCUGAGAGGAAGGUCCCCCACACUGGUACUGAGACACGGACCAGACUCCUACGGGAGGCAGCAGUGAGGAAUAUUGGUCAAUGGGCGAUAGCCUGAACCAGCCAAGUCGCGUGAGGGAAGACGGCCCUAUGGGUUGUAAACCUCUUUUGUCGGGGAGCAAGGUCGCUACGUGUAGCGAUUUGAGAGUACCCGAGGAAAAAGCAUCGGCUAACUCCGUGCCAGCAGCCGCGGUAAUACGGAGGAUGCGAGCGUUAUCCGGAUUUAUUGGGUUUAAAGGGUGCGUAGGCGGGAGAUCAAGUCAGCGGUAAAAAUGCGGGGCCCAACCCCGUCGAGCCGUUGAAACUGGUUUUCUUGAGUGGGCGAGAGGUAUGCGGAAUGCGUGGUGUAGCGGUGAAAUGCAUAGAUAUCACGCAGAACCCCGAUUGCGAAGGCAGCAUACCGGCGCCCAACUGACGCUGAGGCACGAAAGCGUGGGUAUCGAACAGGAUUAGAUACCCUGGUAGUCCACGCAGUAAACGAUGAACACUACCUGUUCGGCCUGACUGAAGGCUGA
RNAcentral lists this ribosomal RNA (638 nucleotides) under uncultured bacterium. RNAcentral's name for it is "bacterial SSU rRNA". It matches the Rfam family "Bacterial small subunit ribosomal RNA", at positions 202 to 842 of the family's 1533-position model. The record is from RNAcentral.